Long non-coding RNA from Triticum aestivum (bread wheat), 947 nucleotides. RefSeq lists it as uncharacterized. The record is from RefSeq and is a predicted model, not a curated record. Lineage: Eukaryota; Viridiplantae; Streptophyta; Magnoliopsida; Poales; Poaceae. The transcript has 5 exons.
GCUCGCGUCCUGCCCUCCUCUCCUCUGGCCGCCGACGCUCCUCCCCUCCGGCCUCCCCGAUCCCCUCGCCAUCCUGCGCGCCGUCGUCGCCCACGGAUCCGAUGACCUCUCCGGGAUCUACAACAUCGACGGCUAGGGCGCAUCGCCGCUGCACAAGCCCGACCCGGCGUGCACCGCCAGCACCACGCGCGCGAUGGCUCUGGAUCUCGUUUUCUCUCAUCGCCGCCGCUCCUCUUCGUGCCCGUCUUCCUCAUCUCCUCUGCGUCGCCGCCGCCCGUCCUCCUCCUCUCCUCUGCGCCGCCCGUCUCUGUCGCCGUCUGGCCUAGAUGCGUUCGGAGUCCGUCGGCGCCGCACGCGGAGGAGACGCGGCGAGGAGGAGCGCGAGCCACCGGAGCAGUGGGUCGUCGCGCCGUCGACGGGAGGAAGCUGGGAUGCGAAGAUGGUCAUCCUCGUCGCCAGUGCCAUCAUCCUCGCACGGAAGAAUCGUCUCCCCGACGCGCCUCCUUUGAGGAGCUUCCACCUACCCACCGUGGCUGCUGGCGCGACCUGCUCCUCGGGUGAGCGGUUCCCCCUACGACCUCGAUCCCCUGUCUCUGCUUCUCCGCUGCGACAAUGUCCUCCUCAUCUACAUCGGCCGCUCGACCUGCCCUUCCACAAAAAAUGACUGGCACAUCGAGCCGAGAUGCUGACCCGACUGCCUCGGUGUUGAUUGCCGGCCGACGAACUGCAGUGUGCUACCGGCGUUGAGAUCCAGAAGGAGGCAGCGGAUGGGGAGAUGAGGGUGCUUUGUGGCAUUACAAGAGCAAUGCUAUUGCCAUCACAUUCGGGAAUCGUUCCCGAAGAGUGAACUGACCAGAUGCAAGGUACAAUGAACUGAAAGAAGAAGGGCAUUCUCAUCAAAGGAGGACCAGGACGUCGAGUUAAGAUGGGUUGCCUCUGAUUCGCCU